Pelodiscus sinensis (Chinese soft-shelled turtle) is the source of this 1095-nucleotide non-coding RNA. NCBI's taxonomy places the organism in Eukaryota, Metazoa, Chordata, Testudines, Trionychidae. The record is from RefSeq and is a predicted model, not a curated record.
UCUGUUUAUACUGUUGGCUUAGCACAGUGCAGCUGCACUGUUGCUGCAGUACAGUGAGAGUCUUCUGAAGGGAUGUGAACAAGUUGAGGAUGCAUGGCUGGCUUACAGGAAUAGAAUGCCUUCCACUGGUUUAUUGACUUCAGAGGGAGUAAAGUUACGCCUUUAAAACUGUGUUCUCUCCUCCAUAAAUUAAGCAAAUGUAAACCUGUGAGCCGGAACAUCAAUCAAAGGAGUUUUCCAUUAGAAAAAGGUGCAACUACAUGGCCUUCAGAGAAUAAACAUGUUACUUUCUAAGCAUCAAUUAUGGUUUUACACGUUGGAUCUACUCAGUAGUUACUUAUUAAAUGGAUCUGUGGAAUUACAGGAAAUACUUGUAACCAAGUUAUCAAGCAAAGACAUGGGAGAAAAGACAGCACGGCAUUUACACCCAACAGGAGAGAGAAUCUUGGUCUGGGCCCAACUUCGCAAAGAAUACAUUGCAAAGAUCUACACCAGACUAACACGGCUACAUUUCUAUCACCAUCUUGAAUCAAAGACUUUGAACACUGGAAAUGUAACGUCAAAACCAGACACAAUCUUGGACUUCCAUCACUGGACACACACAAGAAGCUAGAGCUUUUGCAAGCUGAGAAAGCAGGACCAGCUGCAUGAGAAGCAUGUCCAAUACUUCCCACACCAGCUUCAUGACCCUGUGAGAGCUGCCACUGCAGAUGAUCCCAGGAAGACCUGCAGCAGGAACAUGUUGCCUGCCUGCAUUCCUUGCAGCAGUUUUUGGAAUGGAAGGACUGGAGGGUGGCUGCCGGCCUGGAGGAGUGCCAUGCUGACAGGGAGCUGCACCGCACCAUCUAGCGGGAGUUGCCCCAAGAGACCUGGAGCAUGUGUGUGGCCUACACCGCCACCGCCUGGUGACUGCCAUUGAGCAGUCCCCUGACCUCCUGCUUCUGCCCCGCCCCUCUGACUUCUCCCCUUCAUCUCCCCAUGGCUGCUGAGGACCCCACACAUGAGGUGGUGGGACCACCUGAGGCAGGCAACAGCCCCAGCCCUGAGCACCUCCCCCCUUUCCACCUCUCUUCUCCCAGAUUCUUUCCCCGGUCC